CUCUCUGUCUGUCUCUAUCUCUCUGUCUCUCUCUCUUUUUUGCCAGUAUAUCUUGAAAUUUCAUUGAUGUACGAAGCUCCUGACAAGUAAAUUCCUCUACCAAUGCAGGCUGGCAUUCUUACAUACUAGCAAUAAAGAGCAAGAAAAUAAUUUUUUUUAAAAAAAAGGAACUCCAUUGAUAAUCAUUUAAGAUCAAUUGAGCCCCAAUAAGGGACAAAAACCUGAAUUAAUCUUUUUCUCUCUGAGUGAACUAAAAACACCCCCUUCCUGUGUUAGCAAAUUCCAGGAACAGAUAGAACUGAUCAACUAAGCCCAGGAUGUCUGGGACCAGAUACUCUCUUGAAUAAUGGGACUUUUCUUAUCUUGAGUUUCUACUGACACUUUGACAUUCUUCUGUUUUAUUGUGUUUACAGCCUUAUUCAAUUAAGAAAAUUCCUUUCCCAUGCUAUAUGUUAAACAAACAUAUGGGGGCUGUAUUUUUUUGUAACACAGACAUUCUGAGUCUGAUCACUCUAAACUGUAUAAAACCUCUCUCAUUUUGCUUAAUCUCCAAGUCAGAAUCACAUUCUGGCUCCCAUGUUAACAUGAUUCGCUAGCUAAAAGGGAAUAAACUGUAUAAUAGUGUAUCACCUAACUUGUUUGCCUUCCUUAACCAAACUUUCAGGUCAACAGUAAUGGUGCCAUGACUCGGAUUGGAACUGAAGGAAUGGUAGAAAACUCCAGCCCACCCUGGCAAUGCUUUAGUGGCUCAGGCACCUCAGGAUCCAUCUUUUCCUGGAGUCCUAACCUUGAUGGGGUCGGCCUCUAUCAGGUCUAUGUGACUACUCCCAUAGCUGAGAACUUCUGGAUGUGGACUCUGGGAUCAUCUGAAGAUGCCCACUCCUGAGUGGACAUCUGAACCUAUAGGAGACCUUGCCCUCCGGUUACGAAGGGGCCUGAAAAAGACGACAUCAGAUGUAGACAGCUUUUCCAAGAGUCCGGACCACGCCUGCACGAAGUAAAGCUCCCUCCCUGCCUGAACCCCUUACAUACCCAAGACUGGUUACGCAUAUUUUAGUAGUCCUAGAUUGC
Molecule: long non-coding RNA, 1071 nt
Filed under: Phascolarctos cinereus (koala)
Lineage: Eukaryota; Metazoa; Chordata; Mammalia; Diprotodontia; Phascolarctidae
Description: lncRNA (ENSPCIG00000035838.1)
Source: RNAcentral